CAAGAAGGUCAGGGAGCCUAACUCAAGCCCUGAGCUCUGCCCAGCCCACACCUCUCAGGGCAGGAGGCCAUCUGGGUUAUUGAGGUGCUAGCAGGUUCUAGCAACAGGAGGCAGCUGAUGGGGGUGUGUCCUCCUUGCCCCCGGAGUCGGAGAUGUGGGAAAGUUGCGGGCUGGAUCUGGGAGGCACCAGGUCAUGUGAGGCAGAGAAAACCAGGAGGCCAGGCCACUGGGCACAGCUGCCAGUGCCUUAGACCAGAACUGGUGCCCUUCCUCCCUUUUCUUCUUUCCUCCUCCCUCCCUCCCUUCCUUCCCUGCUUAUUGGCAGUGUUCAUCUGUGCAACGUACUAGGAGUAUACAGAAUAUGUAUUCCUAGUAUGAGGAAUAGUCCUAAUCCUACUGUAACGGAUUGUGUGUGACUUCUGGGAGAUUACAGACGAACGGGGAGACAGACAGACUAAAGAUUAAAGUCUGACUUCGUGGAGCUCACCUGUGAGUGGGGAUGCAGGUGACCACAUGGCAAGCUCUGGCCAAUGGGGUGA
This 539-nucleotide long non-coding RNA is filed under the name Equus caballus (horse). RNAcentral's name for it is "lncRNA (ENSECAG00000050336.1)". Lineage: Eukaryota; Metazoa; Chordata; Mammalia; Perissodactyla; Equidae. The record is from RNAcentral.